RNAcentral lists this ribosomal RNA (787 nucleotides) under uncultured Bacteroidota bacterium. RNAcentral describes it as "bacterial SSU rRNA". It matches the Rfam family "Bacterial small subunit ribosomal RNA", at positions 39 to 821 of the family's 1533-position model. The record is from RNAcentral. Lineage: Bacteria; Pseudomonadati; Bacteroidota.
GCGGAGGCUUAAUACAUGCAGGUCGAGGGGCAGCGCAGGUAGCAAUACUGGGCGGCGACCGGCAAACGGGUGCGGAACACGUACACAACCUUCCUACAAGUGGGGAAUAGCCCAGAGAAAUUUGGAUUAAUACCCCGUAACAUAGCGAUGUGGCAUCACAUUGUUAUUAUAGCUUCGGCGCUUGUUGAUGGGUGUGCGGCUGAUUAGAUAGUUGGCGGGGUAACGGCCCACCAAGUCUACGAUCAGUAGCUGAUGUGAGAGCAUGAUCAGCCACACGGGCACUGAGACACGGGCCCGACUCCUACGGGAGGCAGCAGUAAGGAAUAUUGGUCAAUGGACGAAAGUCUGAACCAGCCAUGCCGCGUGAAGGAUUAAGGUCCUCUGGAUUGUAAACUUCUUUUAUCUGGGACGAAAAAAGGCGAUUCUUCGCCACUUGACGGUACCAGUUGAAUAAGCACCGGCUAACUCCGUGCCAGCAGCCGCGGUAAUACGGAGGGUGCAAGCGUUAUCCGGAUUCACUGGGUUUAAAGGGUGCGUAGGCGGGCAGGUAAGUCAGUGGUGAAAUCCUAGAGCUUAACUCUAGAACUGCCAUUGAUACUAUCUGUCUUGAAUAUUGUGGAGGUAAGCGGAAUAUGUCAUGUAGCGGUGAAAUGCUUAGAUAUGACAUAGAACACCUAUUGCGAAGGCAGCUUACUACGCAUAUAUUGACGCUGAGGCACGAAAGCGUGGGGGAUCAAACAGGAUUAGAUACCCUGGUAGUCCACGCCCUAAACGAUGAUUACUCGAC